AAUGAACGCUGGCGGCGCGCCUAAUACAUGCAAGUCGAGCGAGAAGACGUAGCAAUACGUUUGUAAAGCGGCGAACGGGUGAGGAAUACAUGGGUAACCUACCCUCGAGUGGGGAAUAACUAGCCGAAAGGUUAGCUAAUACCGCGUACGCUCCUUGGACUUCGGUUCAGGGAGGAAAGCGAUACCGUGGGUAUCGCGCUCUUGGUUGGGCUCAUGUCCUAUCAGCUUGUUGGGAGGUAACGGCUCACCAAGGCUUCGACGGGUAGCUGGUCUGAGAGGACGAUCAGUCACACUGGCACUGCGACACGGGCCAGACUCCUACGGGAGGCAGCAGUAAGGAAUAUUGCGCAAUGGGCGAAAGCCUGACGCAGCGACGCCGCGUGGGGGAGUGAA
This 393-nucleotide ribosomal RNA is filed under the name uncultured bacterium. Its description in RNAcentral is "bacterial SSU rRNA". It matches the Rfam family "Bacterial small subunit ribosomal RNA", at positions 29 to 413 of the family's 1533-position model. The record is from RNAcentral.